Molecule: ribosomal RNA, 383 nt
Filed under: uncultured eukaryote
Lineage: Eukaryota
Description: partial 18S ribosomal RNA
Rfam family: Eukaryotic small subunit ribosomal RNA
Source: RNAcentral
CAAUAGCGUAUAUUAAAGUUGUUGCAGUUAAAAAGCUCGUAGUUGGAUUUCUGGUGGGAGCGAUCGGUCUGGCGCUUAGCGCGAGUACUUGCAUCGUCUCCGGCCAUCCUUGGGGAGAGUCUGUCUGGCAUUAAGUUGUCGGGCAGAGGAUCCUCAUCGUUUACUGUGAAAAAAUUAGAGUGUUCAAAGCAGGCUUAUGCCGUUGAAUAUAUUAGCAUGGAAUAAUAAGAUAGGACUUUGGUACUAUUUUGUUGUUUUGCGCACCAAAGUAAUGAUUAAUAGGGACAGUUGGGGGUAUUCGUAUUCCGUUGUCAGAGGUGAAAUUCUUGGAUUUACGGAAGACGAACUACUGCGAAAGCAUUUACCAAGGAUGUUUUCAUUAA